GAAAUGCGAUAAGUAGUGUGAAUUGCAGAAUUCAGUGAAUCAUCGAAUCUUUGAACGCACAUUGCGCCCUUUGGUAUUCCUUAGGGCAUGCCUGUUCGAGCGUCAUCUAAACCUUCAAGCCCUGCUUGGUGUUGGGUGCCUGUCCCGCCUCCGCGCGCGGACUCACCUCAAAUCCAUUGGCGGCCCCCGCGUCGGCCACGAGCGCAGCAGAAACGCGAACUCGUGAGCCCGUCCGGGCGGCUCCCAGAAGCUACACCCACCCAGUUUGACCUCGGAUCAGGUAGGGAUACCCGCUGAACUUA
RNAcentral lists this unclassified non-coding RNA (302 nucleotides) under plant metagenome. Its description in RNAcentral is "partial contains 5.8S ribosomal RNA, internal transcribed spacer 2, and large subunit ribosomal RNA". The stretch from base 1 to 105 matches the Rfam family "5.8S ribosomal RNA", at positions 50 to 154 of the family's 154-position model. The record is from RNAcentral.